GGCAUGUCGGGCCCCAGGCCUGUGGUGCUGAGCGGGCCUUCGGGAGCUGGGAAGAGCACCCUGCUGAAGAGGCUGCUCCAGGAGCACAGCGGCAUCUUUGGCUUCAGCGUGUCCCGUGAGUCCAGGGCUCUUGUGGAGGGGUGCGUAGACCUCAAGGCUGCUGAGUAGUCCUAGCACUGUGAGCAGGCCAGGAGCCCAAACCCAACAGGCACACCCACCCUGCAGACUGUCCGAACUCUUGCACACUCCCCCCCCACACAGAACCUGAGGUUAUCACACUCCUGCUGUCCUGCGUGCCUGUGUCUCCCUUCCCUGGGUCUGUUGAGUACUGAUAACUGGGCCACAGUGUUUCUUUCUGGGAGAACCCUCGCCUUGUAGGCUCCUGCGCCUUCCCAGUGGUGUGCUCCACUGGCUGCCUGCAUCCUGGGGCUCAAGUGCUGUCAGGACUGCAAGGGAAAUGCUGGGUGGGGCACUGGGCUCCGAGCAGCCCCCGAUGGGUGACAGGUCUCUCUGCUAGAUACCACGAGGAACCCGAGGCCCGGCGAGGAGAACGGCAAAGAUUACUACUUUGUAACCAGGGAGGUGAUGCAGCGUGACAUAGCAGCCGGCGACUUCAUCGAGCAUGCCGAGUUCUCGGGGAACCUGUAUGGCACGAGCAAGGUGGCGGUGCAGGCUGUGCAGGCCAUGAACCGCAUCUGUGUGCUGGACGUGGACCUGCAGGGUGUGCGGAACAUCAAG
Molecule: small RNA, 738 nt
Filed under: Pan troglodytes (chimpanzee)
Lineage: Eukaryota; Metazoa; Chordata; Mammalia; Primates; Hominidae
Description: processed transcript
Source: RNAcentral